RNAcentral lists this ribosomal RNA (459 nucleotides) under uncultured bacterium. Its description in RNAcentral is "partial 16S ribosomal RNA". It matches the Rfam family "Bacterial small subunit ribosomal RNA", at positions 338 to 795 of the family's 1533-position model. The record is from RNAcentral.
CCUACGGGUGGCAGCAGUGAGGAAUAUUGGUCAAUGGUCGGGAGACUGAACCAGCCAAGCCGCGUGAGGGCUGAAGGUACAGAGUAUCGUAAACCUCUUUUGUCAGGGAACAAAGGCGGGGCCGUGUCCCCGGAUGAGUGUACCUGAAGCAAAAGCAUCGGCUAACACCGGGCCAGCAGCCGCGGUAAUACGGAGGAUGCAAGCGUUAGCAGGAUUUAUUGGGGUUAAAGGGUGCGCAGGCGGUCUGUUAAGUCAGCUGUCAAAGCCGGGGGCACAAACCCGGCCCGCCGUUGAAACUGGCAGUGUCGAGUGGGAGAGAAGUAUGCGGAAUGCGCGGUGUAGCGGUGAAGUGCAUAGAUAUCGCGCAGAACUCCGAUUGCGAAGGCAGCAUGCCGGCUCCACACUGACGCUGAGGCACGAAAGCGUGGGUAUCGAACAGGAUUAGAUACCCGAGUAGUC